GUGGGGAAUCUUAGACAAUGGGGGAAACCCUGAUCUAGCCAUGCCGCGUGAGCGAUGAAGUCCUUAGGGUUGUAAAGCUCUUUCAGCUGGGAAGAUAAUGACGGUACCAGCAGAAGAAGCCCCGGCUAACUCCGUGCCAGCAGCCGCGGUAAUACGGAGGGGGCUAGCGUUGUUCGGAAUUACUGGGCGUAAAGCGCGCGUAGGCGGACCAGAAAGUUGGAGGUGAAAUCCCAGGGCUCAACCUUGGAACUGCCUUCAAAACUCCUGGUCUGGAGUUCGAGAGAGGUGAGUGGAAUUCCGAGUGUAGAGGUGAAAUUCGUAGAUAUUCGGAGGAACACCAGUGGCGAAGGCGGCUCACUGGCUCGAUACUGACGCUGAGGUGCGAAAGCGUGGGGAGCAAACAGGAUUAGAAACCCUGGUAGUCC
RNAcentral lists this ribosomal RNA (425 nucleotides) under uncultured bacterium. RNAcentral describes it as "partial 16S ribosomal RNA". It matches the Rfam family "Bacterial small subunit ribosomal RNA", at positions 354 to 796 of the family's 1533-position model. The record is from RNAcentral.